GAUGAAGAACGUAGUGAAAUGCGAUAAGUAAUGCGAAUUGCAGAAUUCAGUGAGUCAUCGAAUCUUUGAACGCACAUUGCGCCCUGUGGUAUUCCGCAGGGCAUGCCUGUUCGAGCGUCAUUUCAACCCUCAAGCUCUGCUUGGUGUUGGGCCCUGCCCGCUGCGGCCGGCCCUAAAGACAGUGGCGGUGCCGCCUGGCCCUGAGCGUAGUACAUCUCUCGCUCCAGUGCCCGGUGGUAGCCUGCCAGAACCCCAACUCUCGUGGUUGACCUCGGAUCAGGUAGGGAUACCCACUGAACUUAAGCAUAUCAAUAAGCGGAGGA
This 323-nucleotide unclassified non-coding RNA is filed under the name soil metagenome. Its description in RNAcentral is "partial contains 5.8S ribosomal RNA, internal transcribed spacer 2, and large subunit ribosomal RNA". The stretch from base 1 to 120 matches the Rfam family "5.8S ribosomal RNA", at positions 35 to 154 of the family's 154-position model. The record is from RNAcentral.